ACGACUGCUAAUACCGAAUAAGUUCCAAGAGCCGCAUGGCCCAUGGAAGAAAAGGUGGCCUCUACCUGUAAGCUAUCGCCUGAAGAGGGGUUUGCGUCUGAUUAGCUGGUUGGAGGGGUAACGGCCCACCAAGGCGACGAUCAGUAGCCGGUCUGAGAGGAUGAACGGCCACACUGGAACUGAGACACGGUCCAGACUCCUACGGGAGGCAGCAGUGGGGAAUCUUCCGCAAUGGGCGAAAGCCUGACGGAGCAACGCCGCGUGAGUGAUGACGGCCUUCGGGUUGUAAAACUCUGUGAUCCUUUUUUAAAAGGCAGAGUGCGAAGAACAAACUGCAUUGACGGUACCGGAAAAGCAAGCCACGGCUAACUACGUGCCAGCAGCCGCGGUAAUACGUAGGUGGCAAGCGUUGUCCGGAAUUAUUGGGCGUAAAGCGCGCGCAGGCGGCUUCCCAAGUCCCUCUUAAAAGUGCGGGGCUUAACCCCGUGAUGGGAAGGAAACUGGGAAGCUGGA
RNAcentral lists this ribosomal RNA (513 nucleotides) under uncultured bacterium. RNAcentral's name for it is "bacterial SSU rRNA". It matches the Rfam family "Bacterial small subunit ribosomal RNA", at positions 156 to 645 of the family's 1533-position model. The record is from RNAcentral.